AAAAAAAAAAAAAAAUUGAAUAAAGUAAGUACAUUCCGUGAUAUCGAGUAUAUUUAAAUGUAUCACUCUGUAUUUAUAAAAAAAACAAAAUAUAUUAUGAUAUAUUAUAUCAAAUGAUUAAUAAUUGUUAACUAGAAAAAUAUUUUUAUAUAUAUUUGAUACACAUUAAUUUUAUAAUAACUUUUUUGAGUAUCGACCACAUAAAUUAUUUGUUAGAUAUUUACUAAAAUUUACAGAUCAAUUUUUUUUCCGUUUUUAAUGAUGAAGUAAUAAACUAUUAUUUAUUAAUUUUCAUGUUUAACUGACCCCGGAAUAGUUAAAGUUAAAUUGGCUGAUGAUUUAAGCACUCGCGCAUUCGAACCGCUCCGAAAUUAGAAAAAAUUACUCGAAUAAGUAUUUGAUGGGUUUUGUUUUAUUUUUAUAAUGUUACUGUUUUCUUAAAUUAAAAUAGUAAACAAUAUCCGACAUUGAAAAUCGCGUGUUAGUCUAUAAUUCCCAUAUUUUACUAUCAGACAAAUUGUAAUUUGCCUACUUGUGUAUAACAUUUUAACAUAAUAUAUUAUAUUAUAUUUUUAUAUUUAUUAACGAGUAUAAAUCAAUUUAAUUUAUUAUAUUUAUUAUUUUAUUAUAUUUUUUAUGUUUUUAUGUUCGUAUUUACAUUCUUUGGCAUUUACAGAAUUAUUUUAAUCGUUGACAAUUUGUAUUUAUG
Cinara cedri is the source of this 709-nucleotide non-coding RNA. NCBI's taxonomy places the organism in Eukaryota, Metazoa, Arthropoda, Insecta, Hemiptera, Aphididae. The record is from the annotation of a GenBank genome assembly.